Molecule: non-coding RNA, 4650 nt
Organism: Coturnix japonica (Japanese quail)
Lineage: Eukaryota; Metazoa; Chordata; Aves; Galliformes; Phasianidae
Source: RefSeq, a predicted model, not a curated record
AUGGUGAACUGAGAUGUUCUAUGGUCUGGAAGCAGUUGGUGGGAGCUUCACCUCCUCUAACGGCAGGAAAACUUUGGAGACACAGCUGAAGGAUUGAACAAUACCUACCAGGGAGGUAAAGAGGAUGGGGCUUUAAAACACCUACAGCUGGCUUCUACACCCCUCUGACCUGCAUUUCAGAUCGGCCCCACCAAGAUGCCUGUCUGCCUUGGCUGAUGAGGAUUGCUACCCAACAGCAAAGACCAUGUUUUCCCUUAGUGCACCAUGUUGUGGGAAGUGUUUACUGCUGCUGCUUUUACAGAGCAGAAAACCAGAGACCAUGUGGGUCCAAGCGGAGGUGCAGAGCCACGUGGAGGGUGGAUAAUUUGAGUUUUGGACACAGAGCAUCACGGGUGGUGCCUUGGCCAGCUGUGUGCUAAGGUCAGCUUGGACUUGGAGACCUUACUUUUUGCUCUUUGCCUUCUCCUUUUGUACCCCUGAGCAGAAGAGGACCAAGCCUCUGUCACCCAUACAGCACAAACUGGGAAGCACAUCCAAAAAGCAUCAGCUGGGAUGCAGCAAGCUCACAACAAGGAAAAGCAGAAAGAAGAAUGACCCCGUGCCACUGUUAGAAACAGCUUCCUGAAAGCAGCUUGCGGCCAGGAAAACCGCUGGAUGAAAUCCCUUGGAGGAGGAGAAAGUCCAGGGAGUGAUAAUGUAUUUGGCCUGUACUUCCCUGCAAUGGAGAUCUUCAUGUCUUGGACCAUGCCCUGAACAAGCUGACCUAGCUGGCUGAUAACUCCUUCACCUCCCUGUGACAGAGGGACAAAAAGAGAAGGAUGGACAGACACCUACCCAACAGCUACUCCAGAAGCCAGCACAGGAAGAGGAUGGAAGACAGGACAAACACAGGCAACUCGUGCAAGAACAGCUAUAUUAGAAUUGAGUUUGUUUUGCAGAGCACUUUCUGGAUUAGCUUCAAAUGACCAAGCUGGCUUUGGAGGAUCCACCUUCCCACCCCAUUGGUGGUUGUUUUGCCCGACUGGUAUUUCUGGCCAUUGGGAUCGCCAAAUCACUGCACCGAUGCCCAUCACGACGUUUACAGACAGAGGGACAAAAGCGUGAGUUUCUCAAAACCUCCAUUAGACUUUAUUUAAAAGUUCUUUGUAUAGACUUCCUGACACAGAAUCCACAAGAAAAAUAAAAUUCCCCCCCCCCCCCCCCACCCACCCGCCCACCUCACCCCAAAUUGCUUUGCUUUGUGUUUUAUAAAACAUACAACAUGAGAAGAAUGCCAGAGACAUUCUACACCACAAUUUAACAAUUCAUUAACUGAGGCCUUGGUCCCAGCAGUGCAUUUGCAUUUGGAAACUUUGCUUCCUUUUCCUUGCUCGUUUGGUUGGCCACAUAUGUUACAAAUGCAUAAGAGAGAUCUAGUUUGCAAAUCUGAUCCAGCGAAAGGAGAAAAACAAAAAGGAAGAACGAAACACUGAACGGCUUAUUUAUCAGCAUUAGCUACUCCCUUACACCAAGGCUUUCCAUGUGCAGUUAUGCUCAGAUAUGAAAAUGAUAAAAGCAAGCAUGUAACAGUUGCAGUGAAAUUAUUAUGAUGAUUUUUAUUUAUUUUCAUUGCUAAUUUUUCUGCUGCCUUAGAUAGGCAGGCUGCCGGAAUUGGAAAGAGAGGGUAAUUUAGAUACGUGUUCAGACACAAUAACAAUCUGCAAUCAGGUAAAUAUUUUGUAAUGUUGAAGCUAUACAAUAUAUCCCGGGCACACGUAGCACUCAGUCCACAAACAGUUUAGCACCAUAUUGAUAGGUCAUACAGCAAAACCUUUUCUUCAAGGUUUGCUUCGGAAGUUAAAAGCAUGAAAUAGUACAGUGCAAGGUAGUCUAUACCCUUAGCUUCUAUUGGGGUAAGGUGGCAACGGUGGAUGCUCCUGGCUGUCUCAGAGGUAUGUGUUGGCAGGUUGUUGGCUCUAUGUUCCUAUCGUCGUCACCACGCCAGGGCUGAUGUUACCUGAGGAAGUUUGAUGGAGAAGGGGAAGAUACAUGAGGUUACCGAGUGGGAUGCUGAGGGAGGGUAAGUGCUGCUGGUGACCGUGCUACAAAGCCCACACCGCCCUCAGUCCACUUGCAGACCCAGCACUUUUUUGCCCACUUCUGGGUGCUUACCAGGGCUGCAGGCUUUCUCACAUUCUUUCUGUGUGUUGAAUCUGUUCUCAUUGCCUCCACAGCCUCCAUACCAGAACCUGGCACAGCUCUUGGUCUUCACGUCGUAGUGCCAUUUGAGCACAAAGUCUCUGCAGGUCCCCUCCUCCUUCUGCAGCAGGCAGAUGUCCAUGACUGCAGAGAAAAGCAGGAGAAAGAAGAGUCAGCUAGAGGUCUGGGCUGCUGGGCUAAACACAGGCUCCCUCAAGACAUUUGCAUGGUAAAAAAAAAUGCCAGUGAACACGGCUGGCAUGCAAGACCAGAAGGGGGGACUGAAGCCAAGGUGUUGCCUGGUCUCCUGUGGCUGAGCCCCAUCUCUGUGUUGACAAAGAGAAGGUCUUUGCCCAGCACUGAGCCUGAGAAGAUGCCAACCCUGUUCUUCAAGCCAUCAGCUGUGUUGCUUUGUGCAUCCAUGGUGUGAAGCUGGAGUAAAGGCAGAGAGAAGGACAUGUGCCACGUGGCAACAAUUGUCAGCAGAUCCCUUCGAUUUCAAGGAAGUAAGUUGUCAUGGAGCUGAGCAGAUCAGUGCCUGACCUUGCAUGGGUCAUACCAAGCAGAGAUUUGCUGGAUGGUUUGAAGUGUGAGCUGGGAAUGAAUUCUUUUGAGAGAGAAGCGUUGGAAAGGACUCUCUUGUUCACAGACAGUUUGUUUUGCUGUGAUCUAAAAGCAGCUUGUUGAAGUAGGAUUUCUUUCUAAAUCUCUGCUUCUCCUAGGAAUUUGAAAUCAAUAUUGGAACUUCCAAUUCAGCUUUGUUAUCAGACUCCUCCAGCCAAAAGCUUCCCCAUCCCUUUGGCAAGCUUUUUUCCUUUUCUAUUUAUUCUGCUAAAAGCCCUUCUCCCUUCCGGCCUGCCUUCCAAAACACCAGCAGAUGCAAACACCAGAAUGACUCUGCUCCAAACCCUGUGCACCCUUUCAUGAAUCCAGCCAGCCAUCACUCAGCCCAUGAGAGGGAUCCUGUAUUUUCUCUUUGAGCACAAGGACAAAGCAUCCCUGCUUCUUCACCCCAUCAUACUCUUUGAUGGCAGCAGGAGCUUUCAGGAUCAACUAAUGGAUGGGGAAAUUCAAUGGCCGUGCUGGAGGCAGAUCUGAUUUCAGUGCUGGCUUCAGGAAGGCUGCUGUGCUGUGUUAGGUGAAGAUUCCCUUGAAGAGUGACCUUCCAACCUUCCAUUCACCAGCCCAGGUAUUCAUACUAUGUGGGCUGGUGCUGACCUCCAGGCUGAGAGCACUAUGGGAUGCUAUCAUUCCCCAUCUUUCAAUUGUUCCAUCCAAAAUACAGGAUGGCAUUUGGUCUGAGACCUCUCCUGCCAAAAAAAAACAAAACCAAAACAGCCUUAUCUUCAUUUUUCGAAGAGCUAAGGAGCUAAAAUGUGCUUUAAGUGCCAUCUGGCUCCAUCAUGUUCAAAAGAUGGGGGCUGCCACCAUCAGCAGGGUAUUUAAGUCAUCCCAAUAGAGAAAAUGCAUCUAAGCCUUAGGUGCACGUUUAAAUUAAACAUAUAUAUAUACCUAUAAAUUGCAAUAAUGAAAGGAUAGCCAAACACAUGUUGCUAUACAGAACUACCCACCAGCAAGGCUUCCCCGCUCCAUGAGGGUGAAAUCCUGCUCCCAACUCAAGCCAUUAGUUUCUGCAUGAGCCCCCAAACUCAGUCUCAGAGCUCACUUUGCUUCUAGCUUUCUCCCCUUUCUUUUGGGGCAAAGGGCCCCAAAAGAUUGUGAGAAGGGGAGACCGCCAUGAGGGAAAGGCUUUUGGGACUCAGGUUCCCAUCCCACCCCACUGCUUUGCCAGCACAGGUGACUGUAAGUCCCUGCUUUCUUCCCAGGUCCUUGAAACCAAAGGGCUGAGAAAUACCCUGAGCAAAGGAGCUUGUUACCACUUUCCUGCUGGCCCCUUCUUCAGCUUUCAGACCUGUGCCACAAUUUCCCUUGCAAAGUAUUUGCAGUUCUUCGCACCCCAACAAAGGCACACUGAUGAGCGAUGGCGUUGCUUAGACAUGCAGUGAUAACAAAAGAUGCUUUGGGACCGCGCUGCUGCACACUUCUUACAAUAUCCAGCCUGCUUUUGUGUUAGCUAUGGCUUGCACUUGGGUCGUGCAACCACAGCUUCUCCUGGGGUGAGACAAGGCAUGCAGGUGACUUGCUCAUGCAAAGCAGAUGGUGAGGCAUGGCCACAUCGGGGAGCAAAUGCAAACCAAGGUGCUUCUGGUGAUCUCAUAGUGGGCAAGCAUGGAUGAAUGCUGUGAAAUGGUGAAGGUGAAUGAUGGAUGUGCUUUAUUUUAUGGUUAAUUUUUCGGUGUGUUACCUGGCGAUAAUCUUUUCUCAAGGGGUGGCUGCUGCAUGGCUUUCUCAGCUGCUGCUGGAGGAAAAAGUGUGUUGGUUUGGUGUUUAAAGGAUGUUUUCUCUCUGAUCCAAACGUUAUUUGAAACUCCAAUAAAAAGUGGAAGGAUUAACCCCCGUGUGGUACUUACA